ACACGCAUGACACACUGCAUAUCAAUAAGCGGAGGAAAAGAAACUAACAAGGAUUCCCCUAGUAACGGCGAGUGAAGCGGGAAGAGCUCAAAUUUGAAAUCUUCAAGGUUUGACCUUGACGAAUUGUAGUUUAAAGAAGUGUUUUCGGUUAGAGGAGUAGUAAAAGUUCUUUGGAAUUAGGACAUCAUAGAGGGUGAGAAUCCCGUAUUUGACUAUUCUUUCUAGCUUUGUGAUACACUUUCAAAGAGUCGGAUUGUUUGGGAAUGCAGUCCAAAAUGGGUGGUAAAUUUCAUCUAAAGCUAAAUAUUGGCGAGAGACCGAUAGCGAACAAGUACCGUGAGGGAAAGAUGAAAAGAACUUUGAAAAGAGAGUUAAACAGUACGUGAAAUUGUCAAAAGGGAAGCGUUUGACACCAGUGUUGUUUUUCCGAAAAUCAAUUAAAAAUUGAUUCAUGCCAGGUUGUAUUGACCUUAUCAGCUUGCAAUUUGGUUUUGGGUCUCUUUUUGAUGCACUUUUCGGUUAACAAGUCAACAUCAAUUUCCUUUGCUGUAAAAAGGUAAGAGGAAGGUGGCUUCAAUUUCGGUUGAAGUGUUUAUAGCCUUUUAUCUCUGCAGUCGGGGAGAUUGAGGUCUGCAGCGUAGAUCCUUCGGGGCUAGGAUACAUUUAUGCUAAGUUAUAGCCUUUUCAUAGACAACUUGUUGACUAUGAUUUAGUCAUGUAGCUUACUCGCUAGUGCUAUUUUACCUACGCUUAGGAUGUUGAGCGCAUGUCUCUCUCU
Molecule: ribosomal RNA, 778 nt
Filed under: uncultured Neocallimastigales
Lineage: Eukaryota; Fungi; Neocallimastigomycota; Neocallimastigomycetes; Neocallimastigales
Description: partial large subunit ribosomal RNA
Rfam family: Eukaryotic large subunit ribosomal RNA
Source: RNAcentral